Molecule: ribosomal RNA, 265 nt
Filed under: uncultured bacterium
Lineage: Bacteria
Description: partial 16S ribosomal RNA
Rfam family: Bacterial small subunit ribosomal RNA
Source: RNAcentral
GUCCUAGCCGUAAACGAUGGACACUAGGUGUUGGUGGUAUCAACCCCACCAGUGCCGAAGCUAACGCAUUAAGUGUCCCGCCUGGGGAGUACGGCCGCAAGGCUAAAACUCAAAGGAAUUGACGGGGCCCCGCACAAGCAGCGGAGCGUGGGGUUUAAUUCGAUGCAACGCGAAGAACCUUACCAGGGCUUGACAUGACCAGGAAUCCGGCGGAAACGUCGGCGCCCCGCAAGGGGCCUGGCCACAGGUGUUGCAUGGCUGUCGU